This 2902-nucleotide ribosomal RNA is filed under the name Escherichia coli. RNAcentral's name for it is "bacterial LSU rRNA". It matches the Rfam family "Bacterial large subunit ribosomal RNA". The record is from RNAcentral. Lineage: Bacteria; Pseudomonadati; Pseudomonadota; Gammaproteobacteria; Enterobacterales; Enterobacteriaceae.
UUAAGCGACUAAGCGUACACGGUGGAUGCCCUGGCAGUCAGAGGCGAUGAAGGACGUGCUAAUCUGCGAUAAGCGUCGGUAAGGUGAUAUGAACCGUUAUAACCGGCGAUUUCCGAAUGGGGAAACCCAGUGUGAUUCGUCACACUAUCAUUAACUGAAUCCAUAGGUUAAUGAGGCGAACCGGGGGAACUGAAACAUCUAAGUACCCCGAGGAAAAGAAAUCAACCGAGAUUCCCCCAGUAGCGGCGAGCGAACGGGGAGGAGCCCAGAGCCUGAAUCAGUGUGUGUGUUAGUGGAAGCGUCUGGAAAGGCGCGCGAUACAGGGUGACAGCCCCGUACACAAAAAUGCACAUAUUGUGAGCUCGAUGAGUAGGGCGGGACACGUGGUAUCCUGUCUGAAUAUGGGGGGACCAUCCUCCAAGGCUAAAUACUCCUGACUGACCGAUAGUGAACCAGUACCGUGAGGGAAAGGCGAAAAGAACCCCGGCGAGGGGAGUGAAAAAGAACCUGAAACCGUGUACGUACAAGCAGUGGGAGCCUCUUUUAUGGGGUGACUGCGUACCUUUUGUAUAAUGGGUCAGCGACUUAUAUUCUGUAGCAAGGUUAACCGAAUAGGGGAGCCGAAGGGAAACCGAGUCUUAACUGGGCGUUAAGUUGCAGGGUAUAGACCCGAAACCCGGUGAUCUAGCCAUGGGCAGGUUGAAGGUUGGGUAACACUAACUGGAGGACCGAACCGACUAAUGUUGAAAAAUUAGCGGAUGACUUGUGGCUGGGGGUGAAAGGCCAAUCAAACCGGGAGAUAGCUGGUUCUCCCCGAAAGCUAUUUAGGUAGCGCCUCGUGAAUUCAUCUCCGGGGGUAGAGCACUGUUUCGGCAAGGGGGUCAUCCCGACUUACCAACCCGAUGCAAACUGCGAAUACCGGAGAAUGUUAUCACGGGAGACACACGGCGGGUGCUAACGUCCGUCGUGAAGAGGGAAACAACCCAGACCGCCAGCUAAGGUCCCAAAGUCAUGGUUAAGUGGGAAACGAUGUGGGAAGGCCCAGACAGCCAGGAUGUUGGCUUAGAAGCAGCCAUCAUUUAAAGAAAGCGUAAUAGCUCACUGGUCGAGUCGGCCUGCGCGGAAGAUGUAACGGGGCUAAACCAUGCACCGAAGCUGCGGCAGCGACGCUUAUGCGUUGUUGGGUAGGGGAGCGUUCUGUAAGCCUGUGAAGGUGUGCUGUGAGGCAUGCUGGAGGUAUCAGAAGUGCGAAUGCUGACAUAAGUAACGAUAAAGCGGGUGAAAAGCCCGCUCGCCGGAAGACCAAGGGUUCCUGUCCAACGUUAAUCGGGGCAGGGUGAGUCGACCCCUAAGGCGAGGCCGAAAGGCGUAGUCGAUGGGAAACAGGUUAAUAUUCCUGUACUUGGUGUUACUGCGAAGGGGGGACGGAGAAGGCUAUGUUGGCCGGGCGACGGUUGUCCCGGUUUAAGCGUGUAGGCUGGUUUUCCAGGCAAAUCCGGAAAAUCAAGGCUGAGGCGUGAUGACGAGGCACUACGGUGCUGAAGCAACAAAUGCCCUGCUUCCAGGAAAAGCCUCUAAGCAUCAGGUAACAUCAAAUCGUACCCCAAACCGACACAGGUGGUCAGGUAGAGAAUACCAAGGCGCUUGAGAGAACUCGGGUGAAGGAACUAGGCAAAAUGGUGCCGUAACUUCGGGAGAAGGCACGCUGAUAUGUAGGUGAAGUCCCUUGCGGAUGGAGCUGAAAUCAGUCGAAGAUACCAGCUGGCUGCAACUGUUUAUUAAAAACACAGCACUGUGCAAACACGAAAGUGGACGUAUACGGUGUGACGCCUGCCCGGUGCCGGAAGGUUAAUUGAUGGGGUCAGCGCAAGCGAAGCUCUUGAUCGAAGCCCCGGUAAACGGCGGCCGUAACUAUAACGGUCCUAAGGUAGCGAAAUUCCUUGUCGGGUAAGUUCCGACCUGCACGAAUGGCGUAAUGAUGGCCAGGCUGUCUCCACCCGAGACUCAGUGAAAUUGAACUCGCUGUGAAGAUGCAGUGUACCCGCGGCAAGACGGAAAGACCCCGUGAACCUUUACUAUAGCUUGACACUGAACAUUGAGCCUUGAUGUGUAGGAUAGGUGGGAGGCUUAGAAGUGUGGACGCCAGUCUGCAUGGAGCCGACCUUGAAAUACCACCCUUUAAUGUUUGAUGUUCUAACGUUGACCCGUAAUCCGGGUUGCGGACAGUGUCUGGUGGGUAGUUUGACUGGGGCGGUCUCCUCCUAAAGAGUAACGGAGGAGCACGAAGGUUGGCUAAUCCUGGUCGGACAUCAGGAGGUUAGUGCAAUGGCAUAAGCCAGCUUGACUGCGAGCGUGACGGCGCGAGCAGGUGCGAAAGCAGGUCAUAGUGAUCCGGUGGUUCUGAAUGGAAGGGCCAUCGCUCAACGGAUAAAAGGUACUCCGGGGAUAACAGGCUGAUACCGCCCAAGAGUUCAUAUCGACGGCGGUGUUUGGCACCUCGAUGUCGGCUCAUCACAUCCUGGGGCUGAAGUAGGUCCCAAGGGUAUGGCUGUUCGCCAUUUAAAGUGGUACGCGAGCUGGGUUUAGAACGUCGUGAGACAGUUCGGUCCCUAUCUGCCGUGGGCGCUGGAGAACUGAGGGGGGCUGCUCCUAGUACGAGAGGACCGGAGUGGACGCAUCACUGGUGUUCGGGUUGUCAUGCCAAUGGCACUGCCCGGUAGCUAAAUGCGGAAGAGAUAAGUGCUGAAAGCAUCUAAGCACGAAACUUGCCCCGAGAUGAGUUCUCCCUGACUCCUUGAGAGUCCUGAAGGAACGUUGAAGACGACGACGUUGAUAGGCCGGGUGUGUAAGCGCAGCGAUGCGUUGAGCUAACCGGUACUAAUGAACCGUGAGGCUUAACCUU